GCAGAUAGGUGCUAGGCGGUAUGAUUUCGGCUCAUAAUAUGGAGAUUAAA
Molecule: transfer RNA, 50 nt
Filed under: Cyriopagopus hainanus
Lineage: Eukaryota; Metazoa; Arthropoda; Arachnida; Araneae; Theraphosidae
Description: tRNA-Arg
Source: RNAcentral